GACGUAGGGCGCAAGCGUUGUUCGGAUUUACUGGGCGUAAAGGGCGCGUAGGCGGCGCGGUAAGUCACUUGUGAAAUCUCUGAGCUUAACUCAGAACGGCCAAGUGAUACUGCAGUGCUAGAGUGUGGAAGGGGCAAUCGGAAUUCUUGGUGUAGCGGUGAAAUGCGUAGAUAUCAAGAGGAACACCUGAGGUGAAGACGGGUUGCUGGGCCAACACUGACGCUGAGGCGCGAAAGCCAGGGGAGCAAACGGG
Molecule: ribosomal RNA, 253 nt
Filed under: uncultured bacterium
Lineage: Bacteria
Description: partial 16S ribosomal RNA
Rfam family: Bacterial small subunit ribosomal RNA
Source: RNAcentral